Molecule: ribosomal RNA, 340 nt
Filed under: Erwinia amylovora
Lineage: Bacteria; Pseudomonadati; Pseudomonadota; Gammaproteobacteria; Enterobacterales; Erwiniaceae
Description: bacterial SSU rRNA
Rfam family: Bacterial small subunit ribosomal RNA
Source: RNAcentral
UUAAUUGAAGAGUUUGAUCAUGGCUCAGAUUGAACGCUGGCGGCAGGCCUAACACAUGCAAGUCGAACGGUAGCACAGAGAGCUUGCUCUUGGGUGACGAGUGGCGGACGGGUGAGUAAUGUCUGGGAAACUGCCCGAUGGAGGGGGAUAACUACUGGAAACGGUAGCUAAUACCGCAUAACGUCUACGGACCAAAGUGGGGGACCUUCGGGCCUCACACCAUCGGAUGUGCCCAGAUGGGAUUAGCUGGUAGGUGGGGUAACGGCUCACCUAGGCGACGAUCCCUAGCUGGUCUGAGAGGAUGACCAGCCACACUGGAACUGAGACACGGUCCAGACUC